Molecule: non-coding RNA, 87 nt
Filed under: Pseudomonas protegens Pf-5
Lineage: Bacteria; Pseudomonadati; Pseudomonadota; Gammaproteobacteria; Pseudomonadales; Pseudomonadaceae
Also listed under: 2 other names
Description: gyrA RNA
Rfam family: gyrA RNA
Source: RNAcentral
UCGUAAGUCGGUGCAUGGCACUAGGCCUGCAGCGGCGAGCUUCGUUCGUCCCAUAUGGAUGUGACGAAGUUUCACCAGAAAAAGGAA